This 1491-nucleotide ribosomal RNA is filed under the name metagenome. RNAcentral describes it as "bacterial SSU rRNA". It matches the Rfam family "Bacterial small subunit ribosomal RNA". The record is from RNAcentral.
AGAGUUUGAUCAUGGCUCAGAUUGAACGCUGGCGGCAUGCCUUACACAUGCAAGUCGAACGGUAACAGGGAGCUUGCUCUGCUGACGAGUGGCGAACGGGUGAGUAAUAUAUCGGAACGUGCCCUGGAGUGGGGGAUAACUAGUCGAAAGAUUAGCUAAUACCGCAUACGAUCUCAGGAUGAAAGUGGGGGAUUCGCAAGGACCUCAUGCUCGUGGAGCGGCCGAUAUCUGAUUAGCUAGUUGGUAGGGUAAAAGCCUACCAAGGCAUCGAUCAGUAGCUGGUCUGAGAGGACGACCAGCCACACUGGGACUGAGGCACGGCCCAGACUCCUACGGGAGGCAGCAGUGGGGAAUUUUGGACAAUGGGCGCAAGCCUGAUCCAGCAAUGCCGCGUGAGUGAAGAAGGCCUUCGGGUUGUAAAGCUCUUUUGUCAGGGAAGAAACGGUUUGGCUUAAUACGCUGAGCUAAUGACGGUACCUGAAGAAUAAGCACCGGCUAACUACGUGCCAGCAGCCGCGGUAAUACGUAGGGUGCAAACGUUAAUCGGAAUUACUGGGCGUAAAGCGUGCGCAGGCGGUUAUGUAAGACAGAUGUGAAAUGCCCGGGCUUAACCUGGGAACUGCAUUUGUGACUGCAUGGCUAGAGUGUGUCAGAGGGGGGUAGAAUUCCACGUGUAGCAGUGAAAUGCGUAGAUAUGUGGAGGAAUACCGAUGGCGAAGGCAGCCCCCUGGGAUAACACUGACGCUCAUGCACGAAAGCGUGGGGAGCAAACAGGAUUAGAUACCCUGGUAGUCCACGCACUAAACGAUGUCUACUAGUUGUCGGGUCUUAAUUGACUUGGUAACGCAGCUAACGCGUGAAGUAGACCGCCUGGGGAGUACGGUCGCAAGAUUAAAACUCAAAGGAAUUGACGGGGACCCGCACAAGCGGUGGAUGAUGUGGAUUAAUUCGAUGCAACGCGAAAAACCUUACCUACCCUUGACAUGUCAGAGAGCUCGAAGAGAUUUGAGUGUGCUCGAAAGAGAAUCUGAACACAGGUGCUGCAUGGCUGUCGUCAGCUCGUGUCGUGAGAUGUUGGGUUAAGUCCCGCAACGAGCGCAACCCUUGUCAUUAGUUGCUACGAAAGGGCACUCUAAUGAGACUGCCGGUGACAAACCGGAGGAAGGUGGGGAUGACGUCAAGUCCUCAUGGCCCUUAUGGGUAGGGCUUCACACGUCAUACAAUGGUACAUACAGAGGGCCGCCAACCCGCGAGGGGGAGCUAAUCCCAGAAAGUGUAUCGUAGUCCGGAUUGGAGUCUGCAACUCGACUCCAUGAAGUUGGAAUCGCUAGUAAUCGCGGAUCAGCAUGUCGCGGUGAAUACGUUCCCGGGUCUUGUACACACCGCCCGUCACACCAUGGGAGCGGGUUUUACCAGAAGUAGGUAGCCUAACCGCAAGGAGGGCGCUUACCACGGUAGGAUUCGUGACUGGGGUGAAGUCGUAACAAGGUA